This 781-nucleotide ribosomal RNA is filed under the name uncultured bacterium. RNAcentral describes it as "bacterial SSU rRNA". It matches the Rfam family "Bacterial small subunit ribosomal RNA", at positions 59 to 800 of the family's 1533-position model. The record is from RNAcentral.
CAGUCGAGCGAGCUUGCCUAGAUGAAUUUGGUGCUUGCACCAGAUGAAACUAGAUACAAGCGAGCGGCGGACGGGUGAGUAACACGUGGGUAACCUGCCCAAGAGACUGGGAUAACACCUGGAAACAGAUGCUAAUACCGGAUAACAACACUAGACGCAUGUCUAGAGUUUAAAAGAUGGUUCUGCUAUCACUCUUGGAUGGACCUGCGGUGCAUUAGCUAGUUGGUAAGGUAACGGCUUACCAAGGCAAUGAUGCAUAGCCGAGUUGAGAGACUGAUCGGCCACAUUGGGACUGAGACACGGCCCAAACUCCUACGGGAGGCAGCAGUAGGGAAUCUUCCACAAUGGACGCAAGUCUGAUGGAGCAACGCCGCGUGAGUGAAGAAGGGUUUCGGCUCGUAAAGCUCUGUUGGUAGUGAAGAAAGAUAGAGGUAGUAACUGGCCUUUAUUUGACGGUAAUUACUUAGAAAGUCACGGCUAACUACGUGCCAGCAGCCGCGGUAAUACGUAGGUGGCAAGCGUUGUCCGGAUUUAUUGGGCGUAAAGCGAGUGCAGGCGGUUCAAUAAGUCUGAUGUGAAAGCCUUCGGCUCAACCGGAGAAUUGCAUCAGAAACUGUUGAACUUGAGUGCAGAAGAGGAGAGUGGAACUCCAUGUGUAGCGGUGGAAUGCGUAGAUAUAUGGAAGAACACCAGUGGCGAAGGCGGCUCUCUGGUCUGCAACUGACGCUGAGGCUCGAAAGCAUGGGUAGCGAACAGGAUUAGAUACCCUGGUAGUCCAUGC